Molecule: long non-coding RNA, 360 nt
Organism: Ailuropoda melanoleuca (giant panda)
Lineage: Eukaryota; Metazoa; Chordata; Mammalia; Carnivora; Ursidae
Exons: 3
Source: RefSeq, a predicted model, not a curated record
UGCUAGAAGGGGGAACAUGGCAGGCACUGUCCUCCUCAUCUUUCUCCUUUGAAUGUGGACACAAUACCUGGGCUGCUACAGCCAACCUGUGACUAUGACUAAAGGUCACGAGAAUUCCAGAAACUUCAGCCCUGACAUUUUUAGCUGAAAAAGGUCAGAUCCACCAAAGACUAGAGUUGGCCCAGCAACCAGGGAGCAUGUACUGUGUGAAGGACAGUUCACUUGGAGAUUUAUUCAUGAUGCUGAAUCUAGUUGAUGCCCAAAUGGAUAGCUUGAAGCUCAAAAAUCUGCCUCUACCUAAGGGUCAUUAGCGUUGCCAAACGUAACAAAACGCACCACGCUGCCAACACUGCCCAGCGC